GACGUAGGCGGUUCGCUGCCCGCGACGUUGUGAGAAGUCCACUGAACCUUAUCAUUUAGAGGAAGGAGAAGUCGUAACAAGGUUUCCGUAGGUGAACCUGCGGAAGGAUCAUUG
This 114-nucleotide ribosomal RNA is filed under the name Macropsychanthus grandiflorus (mucana). RNAcentral describes it as "Dioclea grandiflora (mucana) partial 18S rRNA ribosomal". It matches the Rfam family "Eukaryotic small subunit ribosomal RNA", at positions 1719 to 1831 of the family's 1831-position model. Lineage: Eukaryota; Viridiplantae; Streptophyta; Magnoliopsida; Fabales; Fabaceae. The record is from RNAcentral.